RNAcentral lists this long non-coding RNA (2134 nucleotides) under Eutrema salsugineum. Its description in RNAcentral is "long non-coding RNA (ESAL_LNC000879)". Lineage: Eukaryota; Viridiplantae; Streptophyta; Magnoliopsida; Brassicales; Brassicaceae. The record is from RNAcentral.
AUAAACACAAAAAUCUAGAGAACAAAGUUUUCAAAGUUUCAUAAGAUUCAAAAACACAACUGUUUUAAACGUCUUCAUCUCCUUCAUUGUCUUCUUCACCUUCCUUGUCUUCCUCCAUAAACUCAAACUGAUCACCUAAGCACAAUAAAAUAACAAAAAACUUAUUAUUUUCUUGAAAUUUGAUUCCAGUUGAAUUUAAAGAUGACAAAAAUACACAAGUAAAAAAACUUACUAAUCUCUUGAAAUCCGCAUAACCAAUUCCUUGUGCAAAUUAAGACUUGCACAUUUGAAGGAAGAAGGGAACUCCUAUAUUUGUUUAACACGUGACUUCCUAUGCUGAAUGACGAUUCUGAAGCCACGGUUGUAAUAGGGAUACUUUGGAACUAUGUUAUGAAGAAUCUUUUUUCUAGUAGCUGAGCUAUAAAUUUCAUCUUUUGUAGAAAAAUAUUUAUUUAUUCAAGUGUGUUCGAAAACACAAACUAGAACAUGAUGGUGUUUUUUCUUAUUUGUUUACUUUUUGUUCACGAUGAUGUUAGGUCAAUUCCUAUCUCCAAAUUAUCAUUUGAUAAUAAUAAAAAUCGCAUCUAACUAAGGAUAUGAGUAAUUUUGUAGCUAAAUUGAAUUCAAAUUAAUGGUAAAAGGGACACGUUAACAUAUAAACUGGCUGAAGUCUUUUUUAUUGCUCUAAUUAGAAAAAUGUGUACUCAAACAAGCUAUUAAUCCUCUUUAAACCAAACAAAACAUAAAAAGAAGAACUAAAGCAGGAAGGGGGGGGGGGGGGGAACGGAGGACGUAUCCAACUUGUGCUCCCAGCAUAAAUUAUACCCAAGGAUCCAUAAAAAAGAAAAUUAACAACUGUUCCCAUGAAUAUAAAAAUCAUUGCUUCCACUAUUGCCUGUUUUUGGCUUAUGAACAUAAGAAUGCCAAAAAGACAAGAUAACCAACAGGAGAAAAGAGUGAGAUAAGCAUUUCCCAUCUCCAUCCUAAGCUUUUCCGAUAGCUGAAUCAGCCCUAUUCCUCCAAUCAGUGGCGGAACCAGAACAUUUUUCCAUUGGGGGCAAAACAUAUUUAAUAGGAGCAUAUAUAUUAUUUAUUAUGGGGGCAACUAUUAUUAUUGUUACAAAUUUACACUAAUUAUUUUUUUAUUGGGGGCAACUGCCCCCAACUCAUUGUAUACAUAUCCGCCACUGCCUCCAGUGAACAACUGAUGAAUAAAGACACGUACAACACAAACGACUUUUGUAUAUCCCCCCAGAUAAAUAAACAUAUUGGCGUCAAAUAAAAUGAAGCUAUCAGGACAAGUACCGCAAAGACAAGCUGAUGAAUCCUUUCUUUCACUGUAGUAAAUGACUUUUUUUGUCCAUUGGACGGACCAAUGUCCAAAGUAUCUACCCCGAUUUGUCUAUGGGCGAAAUUGGAUGAAGCUCAUUUCAACCCGUUUCAAAAAUGGACUUGUCCAUGACCGGUCCAAAAUGUGUUGGACGCGGACAGCCCAUGGGUCGCCCACCCAUUUUGACAGCUCUAAUCUUAGGUGUCGGUAUAUCCACUUACCAACGGGGUAGAUCUCAUCGCGCCUUGCCUUGACCACAUAUUCAAAGUCAGUGAAGUUCAUAUGAUGGCUGUUGGAGAUUACAUCGGUCGAUUGAACCCGCGUUUCCUGGUUAAAAAGGAUGGUGUAUUCACUCCUAGUCAUAUUGAACGAAUUGUUUUCCUUGUUCGACCGACAGAGAAGGAAUCCACUUAUCUCAAACCACAACCCUUUUUGCAUCACAUGUUUGAAAUAUGCAUGAUAGCGAUUUCCAACGGAAGCGAGUAUUUUGAAACCCUCUCAUAACUAAUAAGGAGAUCAAGCAAGACCCAAACUUACCUCUUCCUGAAAAAAAAAAAAAAAAAAAAAAAAAAAAAAAACUUACCUCUUCCUCCACCAGAAUAAAAUCAAUCUAUUUGAGAUCGCCCGGAUUAGUGUUCUCCCAUCGUUUCAACACCUUCACCACUAUUUUCCAAUCAGAUUCCCACAUGUUCAAAUCACUGAGCAAGCUUUCACCACCCAUAAUGUUAUAGUACGCUAAUAGUAGAGAGAAUUUUGCUCUGGAAAAAAAGUUUUUUUUUGUGGACAAAAUAAAAAACUUUUGAA